UGGGGAAUAUUGCACAAUGGGGGAAACCCUGAUGCAGCCAUGCCACGUGUGUGAAGAAGGCCUUCGGGUUGUAAAGCACUUUCAGCGAGGAGGAAAGGUUGAUGCCUAAUACGCAUCAGCUGUGACGCUACUCGCAGAAGAAGCACCGGCUAACUCCGUGCCAGCAGCCGCGGUAAUACGGAGGGUGCGAGCGUUAAUCGGAAUUACUGGGCGUAAAGCGCACGCAGGCGGUUGGAUAAGUUAGAUGUGAAAGCCCCGGGCUCAACCUGGGAAUUGCAUUUAAAACUGUCCAGCUAGAGUCUUGUAGAGGGGGGUAGAAUUCCAGGUGUAGCGGUGAAAUGCGUAGAGAUCUGGAGGAAUACCGGUGGCGAAGGCGGCCCCCUGGACAAAGACUGACGCUCAGGUGCGAAAGCGUGGGGAGCAAACAG
Molecule: ribosomal RNA, 428 nt
Filed under: uncultured bacterium
Lineage: Bacteria
Description: bacterial SSU rRNA
Rfam family: Bacterial small subunit ribosomal RNA
Source: RNAcentral